Molecule: unclassified non-coding RNA, 409 nt
Filed under: Hevea brasiliensis (rubber tree)
Lineage: Eukaryota; Viridiplantae; Streptophyta; Magnoliopsida; Malpighiales; Euphorbiaceae
Source: RNAcentral
UGAAUUCACACUAGACUCAUUAUAUAAUCAGAGAAAAUCGCUGUUACUAUCUGCCACCAUUCAGCAAAUUCUCUGCUGUGAAAAAACAUCACUAUCGCAAAAUUGAGUUCCAAAAAAAUAACACAACCAAUUCAAUNNNGAAAAACCUUAAAUGCGAGAGUACCCAGUGUUCGUGGGGCUCCCCACGACCGAAAACAACCUUCCAUCUCCCACAUCUUGCUCAUCCAAAUACAAAUCGUCCGUUCCUCUAAUUGCAGCGUGUAAGACAACAAUUGCAAGCCCAAUCAAUAUGGAAACCAAAACGUUCAACCACACGCGCGUCAAAACCAAGGCCACAAUAGUGACAACCGCGAGCACGCCUAGCACCACACGAUCAUCAAUCGUGCGGUGGAGAAUAACAAGGGGCUCG